Molecule: ribosomal RNA, 492 nt
Filed under: uncultured bacterium
Lineage: Bacteria
Description: partial 16S ribosomal RNA
Rfam family: Bacterial small subunit ribosomal RNA
Source: RNAcentral
AGUGAACGCUGGCGGUAGGCCUAACACGUGCAAGUCGAACGGCAGCACAGUAAGAGCUUGCUCUUACGGGUGGCGAGUGGCGGACGGGUGAGGAAUACAUCGGAAUCUACUUUUUCGUGGGGGAUAACGUAGGGAAACUUACGCUAAUACCGCAUACGACCUACGGGUGAAAGCAGGGGAUCUUCGGACCUUGCGCGAUUGAAUGAGCCGAUGUCGGAUUAGCUAGUUGGCGGGGUAAAGGCCCACCAAGGCGACGAUCCGCAGCUGGUCUGAGAGGAUGAUCAGCCACACUGGAACUGAGACACGGUCCAGACUCCUACGGGAGGCAGCAGUGGGGAAUAUUGGACAAUGGGCGCAAGCCUGAUCCAGCCAUACCGCGUGGGUGAAGAAGGCCUUCGGGUUGUAAAGCCCUUUUGUUGGGAAAGAAAAGCAGCAGGUUAAUACCCCGCUGUUCCGACGGUACCCAAAGAAUAAGCACCGGCUAACUUCGUG